GACGAACCGUGCAAACGUUAUUCGGAAUCACUGGGCUUAAAGGGCGCGUAGGCGGGCCGCCAGGUCCGGGGUGAAAGCCUCCAGCUCAACUGGAGAAGUGCCUUGGAUACCGGCGGCCUCGAGGGAGGUAGGGGCGUGCGGAACUUCGGGUGGAGCGGUGAAAUGCGUAGAUAUCGUCUGGAACGCCAACGGUGAAAACAGACAGCUGGGAGUGUGCUGACGCUGAGACACGAAAGCCAGGGGAGCGAACGGG
This 253-nucleotide ribosomal RNA is filed under the name uncultured bacterium. Its description in RNAcentral is "partial 16S ribosomal RNA". It matches the Rfam family "Bacterial small subunit ribosomal RNA", at positions 524 to 776 of the family's 1533-position model. The record is from RNAcentral.